Molecule: non-coding RNA, 30 nt
Filed under: Homo sapiens (human)
Lineage: Eukaryota; Metazoa; Chordata; Mammalia; Primates; Hominidae
Source: RNAcentral
UGAGAAACUGCCUCAUGGUAGCCUCCCAGG